UAGGAAGACAAAGAUGUCAAUUUGUCAGGUUGUUUGCCGCUAAUCAUGUAUUGGUUAGCUGAGAAGACAAAGAUGGGAGGAGCAAUCAAGAGAAAUGAAUUAGGGUCGCCAAAUUUCAUAAGAUGGUCACUCGUCGAGCUGCACAAAGAAAUGGAGAAACUAACCAACGAGCAGAUAGAGGAAAUGUUUGACCGAAAGCUGACAGA
This is a long non-coding RNA of Rosa chinensis, 206 nucleotides long. RefSeq lists it as uncharacterized. The transcript has 3 exons. The record is from RefSeq and is a predicted model, not a curated record. NCBI's taxonomy places the organism in Eukaryota, Viridiplantae, Streptophyta, Magnoliopsida, Rosales, Rosaceae.